UACGAACCGUGCGAGCGUUGUUCGGAUUCACUGGGCUUAAAGGGCGCGUAGGCGGGGUACUAAGUCAGGGGUGAAAUCUUUCGGCUCAACCGGAAAACGGCCCCUGAUACUGGUAGUCUUGAGGGAGGUAGGGGCAGGUGGAACUUCCGGUGGAGCGGUGAAAUGUGUUGAUAUCGGAAGGAACGCCGGUGGCGAAAGCGACCUGCUGGAUCUCUUCUGACGCUGAGGCGCGAAAGCUAGGGGAGCGAACGGG
Molecule: ribosomal RNA, 253 nt
Filed under: uncultured bacterium
Lineage: Bacteria
Description: partial 16S ribosomal RNA
Rfam family: Bacterial small subunit ribosomal RNA
Source: RNAcentral